CGCCUGUUUAUCAAAAACAUAACCUUUAGUCAAUAAACCAAUAUUAAAGGCAACGCCUGCCCAGUGAACAAUUUAACGGCCGCGGUACCCUAACCGUGCAAAGGUAGCACAAUCACUUGUCUAUUAAUUGUAGACCUGUAUGAAAGGCAAAACGAGGGCCUAUCUGUCUCUUGUAGUAAAUCAAUUAAACUGAUCUCCCAGUCCAAAAGCUGGGAUACCAACAUAAGACCAGAAGACCCUGUGAAGCUUAAACUAAACUAUUAAAUCCUAUAAUAGCUCCUUUCGGUUGGGGCGACCCUGGAAAAAAAAAGAACUUCCAAACAUACUGACUUUAUACUCACCAACCCAGGCCAACAAGCCUAACAACGACCCAGCACAGCUGAUAACUGAACCAAGUUACUCCAGGGAUAACAGCGCUAUCUUCUUCAAGAGCCCAUAUCAAAAAGAAGGUUUACGACCUCGAUGUUGGAUCAGGACAUCCUAAUGGUGCAGCCGCUAUUAAGGGUUCGUUUGUUCAACGAUUAACAGUCCCACGUGA
Molecule: ribosomal RNA, 538 nt
Filed under: Naja kaouthia (monocled cobra)
Lineage: Eukaryota; Metazoa; Chordata; Lepidosauria; Squamata; Elapidae
Description: partial 16S ribosomal RNA
Rfam family: Bacterial large subunit ribosomal RNA
Source: RNAcentral